GAUGAAGAACGCAGCGAAAUGCGAUAAGUAAUGUGAAUUGCAGAAUUCAGUGAAUCAUCGAAUCUUUGAACGCACAUUGCGCCCCUUGGUAUUCCGAGGGGCAUGCCUGUUCGAGCGUCAUUAUAACCCUCAAGCUCAACUUGGUGUUGGGGCCUGCUGCACUGGCAGCCCUUAAAAUCAGUGGCGGCGCCAUCUGGCUCUAAGCGUAGUAAUUCUUCUCGCUAUGGAGUCCUGGUGGAUGCUUGCCAUCAACCCCCAAUUUUUCUAUGGUUGACCUCGGAUCAGGUAGGGAUACCCGCUGAACUUAAGCAUAUCAAUAAGCGGAGGA
RNAcentral lists this unclassified non-coding RNA (328 nucleotides) under soil metagenome. Its description in RNAcentral is "partial contains 5.8S ribosomal RNA, internal transcribed spacer 2, and large subunit ribosomal RNA". The stretch from base 1 to 120 matches the Rfam family "5.8S ribosomal RNA", at positions 35 to 154 of the family's 154-position model. The record is from RNAcentral.